UCUCCGUAGGUGAACCUGCGGAGGGAUCAUUACAGAGUUCAUGCCCUACCGGGUAGAUCUCCCACCCCUUGUUAUUAUUACUUUGUUGCUUUGGCGGACCGUUAGGCUCCGCCCCGACUACCGGCCCCGGCUGGUAAGCGCCCGCCAGAGGACCCAAAACCCUGAAUAUUAGUGUCGUCUGAGUACUAUAUAAUAGUUAAAACUUUCAACAACGGAUCUCUUGGUUCUG
This 229-nucleotide unclassified non-coding RNA is filed under the name plant metagenome. Its description in RNAcentral is "partial contains small subunit ribosomal RNA, internal transcribed spacer 1, and 5.8S ribosomal RNA". The record is from RNAcentral.